GAAGGGACCUAGCGUAAUUCGGAAUUACUGGGCGUAAAGCKCGCGUAGGCGGUUAAGUAAGUUAAUUGUGAAAGCCCGAAGCUCAACUUCGGAAUUGCAAUUAAAACUACUUAGCUAGAGUUUAUCAGAGGAAAGCGGAAUACAUAGUGUAGAGGUGAAAUUCGUAGAUAUUAUGUAGAACACCAGUUGCCGAAGGCCGCUUUCUGGGAUAACACUGACGCUGAGGUGCGAAAGUAUGGGUAGC
RNAcentral lists this ribosomal RNA (244 nucleotides) under unidentified marine eubacterium. RNAcentral's name for it is "partial 16S ribosomal RNA". It matches the Rfam family "Bacterial small subunit ribosomal RNA", at positions 527 to 769 of the family's 1533-position model. The record is from RNAcentral.